AGGACGAACGCUGGCGGCGUGCUUAACACAUGCAAGUCGAGCGGAAAGACCCUUCGGGGUACUCGAGCGGCGAACGGGUGAGUAACACGUGAGCAACCUGCCCUUAGCUCCGGGAUAGCUCCGGGAAACCGGAAUUAAUACCGGAUACGACCACAGCCGACAUCUGCUGUGGUGGAAAGGAUUCCGGCUAAGGAUGGGCUCGCGGCCUAUCAGCUAGUUGGUGGAGUAACGGCCCACCAAGGCGACGACGGGUA
RNAcentral lists this ribosomal RNA (254 nucleotides) under uncultured bacterium. Its description in RNAcentral is "partial small subunit ribosomal RNA". It matches the Rfam family "Bacterial small subunit ribosomal RNA", at positions 26 to 285 of the family's 1533-position model. The record is from RNAcentral.